RNAcentral lists this long non-coding RNA (377 nucleotides) under Gallus gallus (chicken). RNAcentral's name for it is "long non-coding RNA NONGGAT002121". The record is from RNAcentral. Lineage: Eukaryota; Metazoa; Chordata; Aves; Galliformes; Phasianidae.
AAAAGUUGGAGUGGAUGUGAAAAGUCCAUUAAAAGGACAUCUCCAGACGAGAUCCUCUGCCAGCAAUACAGCUUCUGUAUAGCUGCCUACUUGAGAGACUUUGAAAUUGUUCACCGGUAACUUUCCUGGCUUUAUCUGCAACUUGCUGCUUGCCACCCAUGUUAUGCUGAGUCUCAUCAUUUCACUGUAAAUGUACAGAAGCACCCUGAUUUAUCGGCUGUAAGCGGGGAAGCCCUUGAGAUGGCACUUGGUAGACAGGCAAGGGAGCCUGGAGCAUGCAGCAAACAGGCUACAAACAACACUGAUUUUCCUCACAUCACUCAGAUGAUUUCCCACUGUCAGCCCAGAGAGCAUGAACAAGCAGUUCUGGUUAUGUG